This 494-nucleotide ribosomal RNA is filed under the name uncultured bacterium. Its description in RNAcentral is "partial 16S ribosomal RNA". It matches the Rfam family "Bacterial small subunit ribosomal RNA", at positions 28 to 507 of the family's 1533-position model. The record is from RNAcentral.
GACGAACGCUGGCGGCGUGCCUAAUACAUGCAAGUAGAACGCUGAAGGAGGAGCUUGCUUCUCUGGAUGAGUUGCGAACGGGUGAGUAACGCGUAGGUAACCUGCCUGGUAGCGGGGGAUAACUAUUGGAAACGAUAGCUAAUACCGCAUAAGAGUAGAUGUUGCAUGACAUUUGCUUAAAAGGUGCAAUUGCAUCACUACCAGAUGGACCUGCGUUGUAUUAGCUAGUUGGUGGGGUAACGGCUCACCAAGGCGACGAUACAUAGCCGACCUGAGAGGGUGAUCGGCCACACUGGGACUGAGACACGGCCCAGACUCCUACGGGAGGCAGCAGUAGGGAAUCUUCGGCAAUGGACGGAGUCUGGCCGAGCAACGCCGCGUGAGUGAAGAAGGUUUUCGGAUCGUAAAGCUCUGUUGUAAGAGAAGAACGAGUGUGAGAGUGGAAAGUUCACACUGUGACGGUAUCUUACCAGAAAGGGACGGCUAACUACGUG